This 868-nucleotide ribosomal RNA is filed under the name uncultured bacterium. RNAcentral describes it as "bacterial SSU rRNA". It matches the Rfam family "Bacterial small subunit ribosomal RNA", at positions 518 to 1378 of the family's 1533-position model. The record is from RNAcentral.
CGGUAAUACGAGGGGUGCAAGCGUUAUUCGGAAUCAUUGGGCGUAAAGGGUGUGUAGACGGCACAUUAAGUCAACUGUUAAAUUCCCCGGCCUAACUGGGGACCUGCGGUAGAUACUGGUGUACUGGAGGAUGGAAGAGAGAAGUGGAAUUCUCGGAGUAGCGGUAAAAUGCGUAGAUCUCGAGAGGAACAUCAAUGGCGAAGGCAGCUUCUUGGUCCAUUCCUGACGUUGAGACACGAAAGCGUGGGGAGCAAACAGGAUUAGAUACCCUGGUAGUCCACGCUGUAAACGAUGAUCACUAGACGUUAGUCUCGUUUUACGAGAUUAGUGUCGUAGCUAACGCGUUAAGUGAUCCGCCUGGGGACUACGGUCGCAAGAUUAAAACUCAAAGGAAUUGACGGGGGCCCGCACAAGCGGUGGAACAUGUGGUUUAAUUCGACACUACGCGAGGAACCUUACCUAGACUUGACAUGCCUUUGACCGUCAUAGAAAUAUGACUUUCCGGACUUCGGUUUGGACAAUUGCACAGGUGCUGCAUGGCUGUCGUCAGCUCGUGUCGUGAGGUGUUGGGUUAAGUCCUUUAACGAGCGCAACCCUUGCUGUCAGUUGCUAUCUGUUUACAGAGCACUCUGGCGGGACUGCCUGGGAAACCAGGAGGAAGGUGGGGACGACGUCAAGUCAUCAUGGUCCUUAUGUCUAGGGCUACACACGUGUUACAAUGGCCAGUACAAUGGGCUGCGAGCUCGCGAGAGUUAGCCAAUCCCAAAAAGCUGGUCUAAGUUCGGAUUGGAGUCUGCAACUCGACUCCAUGAAGUUGAAAUCGCUAGUAAUCGCGUAUCAGCAACGACGCGGUGAAUACGUUCUCGGG